This 34-nucleotide ribosomal RNA is filed under the name Swartzia costata. RNAcentral's name for it is "partial 26S ribosomal RNA". The record is from RNAcentral. RNAcentral also lists the same sequence under 2 other names. Lineage: Eukaryota; Viridiplantae; Streptophyta; Magnoliopsida; Fabales; Fabaceae.
CGGGACCUCAGGUCAGGCGGGGCUACCCGCUGAG